Molecule: long non-coding RNA, 256 nt
Filed under: Podarcis lilfordi (Lilford's wall lizard)
Lineage: Eukaryota; Metazoa; Chordata; Lepidosauria; Squamata; Lacertidae
Source: RNAcentral
UGUUGGUUUCUAUUUCCCUCACUGAGCAGCAACUGCAGUCACAAGACAUUGUUUUACAUUCCACAGUCUGUACUGUUGGAGUUUCUCACGGGAAAGGGAGACUGGAUGUGACGUACACUGGUUUCCUGUUUUUCACUCUGUGUGAUUCUCUCCAAGCUGUUGAGGAGAGAGGAUGCAUUUCUCUGCUCUGGCAGAGGCAAGAUGUCUUUCUGUAAUAUACCAGCUUUGAACUGUAAAUAAAGCAAUAAGGAGUAUG